RNAcentral lists this ribosomal RNA (253 nucleotides) under uncultured bacterium. Its description in RNAcentral is "partial 16S ribosomal RNA". It matches the Rfam family "Bacterial small subunit ribosomal RNA", at positions 524 to 776 of the family's 1533-position model. The record is from RNAcentral.
UACGAAGGGGGCUAGCGUUGUUCGGAAUUACUGGGCGUAAAGCGCGCGUAGGCGGAUUUGCCAGUCAGGGGUGAAAUGCCAGGGCUUAACCUUGGAACUGCCUUUGAUACUGCAAGUCUGGAGUACGGGAGAGGUGAGUGGAAUUCCGAGUGUAGAGGUGAAAUUCGUAGAUAUUCGGAGGAACACCAGAAGCGAAGGCGGCUCACUGGCCCGAUACUGACGCUGAGGUGCGAAAGCGUGGGGAGCAAACAGG